GCCCGGAUGACGAAAUUGGUAGACGUAGCAGACUCAAAAUCUGCCGGUGUCAAAGCCGUGCCGGUUCGAGUCCGGCUCCGGGCACCA
RNAcentral lists this transfer RNA (87 nucleotides) under Erysipelotrichales bacterium. RNAcentral's name for it is "tRNA-Leu". It matches the Rfam family "tRNA". Rfam says of the family: Transfer RNA (tRNA) molecules are approximately 80 nucleotides in length. Their secondary structure includes four short double-helical elements and three loops (D, anti-codon, and T loops). The record is from RNAcentral. Lineage: Bacteria; Bacillati; Bacillota; Erysipelotrichia; Erysipelotrichales.